RNAcentral lists this ribosomal RNA (1245 nucleotides) under Callinera sp. 7 Vostok. RNAcentral's name for it is "partial large subunit ribosomal RNA". It matches the Rfam family "Eukaryotic large subunit ribosomal RNA", at positions 62 to 936 of the family's 3401-position model. The record is from RNAcentral. Lineage: Eukaryota; Metazoa; Nemertea; Palaeonemertea; Tubulaniformes; Tubulanidae.
AAACUAACAAGGAUUCCCCUAGUAACGGCGAGUGAAGCGGGAAUAGCUCAGCACCGAAUCUCCCGGCCCUUGUCGGUCGGAGAGACAUGUGGUGUUCGAAACGAACGUACGGCCGUCCGCCACGAUCGGCGCACGCGUUCCUGUGAACGGGGCGUCGCCCGGUGAGGGUGAAAGGCCCGCAGGCGCGUCGAUCGGAGGGCCGUCGUCGUUUCUAGAGUCGGGUUGUUUGGGAACGCAGCCCUAAGCCGGAGGUAAAUUCCUUCUAAAGCUAAACACUGCCGCGAGUCCGAUAGAAAACAAGUACCGUGAGGGAAAGUUGAAAAGAACUUUGAAGAGAGAGUUAAAGAGUACGUGAAACCGUUUAGAGGUUAACGGUCGGAUCCGCGACAAGUUCCGCCUCGGAUUCAGCUCGCCGCCACGUCCCGUCGCCGGUCGAACACGACGCAGCGCUUCGGCGCACGGUCCUCUGUUCACCGGUGCACACGGCGACCGGCGGCUUGCGCAUUUCCCCGUGCGGAUGCGUCGGUACCGGCGGCCGGCUCGGUCAAGGAGCGUCGACGUCAGGUACCGCCGGGAGCCUUCGGGAACCCGGCGGACUUACAGGCGACGACACAGUGCUUCGAUUCCGAGCUGCCGUCGUGGCGUCAUCGGUCGAUGGCGGCCCCUCGCCGUCCGUCGUUCUACGAACGUCGGCGUCCUCUCGUCGCCUCUCGAGGCGACGGCGUCCCGGCAGUCCGGUCUGCGUGUACGGUAAAGGGCGCGGCGACCUAGCGUCGUCCGUCGCCUCCCGGCGGAAGAGCCUUCGCGGUUCGAAUCGUCGGGACCCGCGCGGCGAGCGACGAGCCACAGCGGCGCGACGAGGCAUCGGGGUACCGAACGAGCAAAGCGACAAUCCGACCUGCCCGUCUUGAAACACGGACCAAGGAGUCUAACAUGUGCGCGAGUCGAAGGGACUCACGAAACCCCGAGGCGCAGUGAAAGCGAGCCGGUCGACUAGCGCGACCAGCGGCACUGGCGAGACGGCGCGGUCGCCACAAAGACCCGUCGGCAUCGUCGGCCCGCGCCACUAGGUCGCCGCCUCUCGGGGCGGCGGCGGCGCGGAGCCGGAGCGUACACGUUGGGACCCGAAAGAUGGUGAACUAUGCUUGAGCCGGGCGAAGCCAGUGGAAACUCUGGUGGAGGCCCGUGGCGGUUCUGACGUGCAAAUCGAUCGUCGAACUUGAGCAUAGGGGCGAAAGACUAAUC